Molecule: ribosomal RNA, 3235 nt
Filed under: Triticum aestivum (bread wheat)
Lineage: Eukaryota; Viridiplantae; Streptophyta; Magnoliopsida; Poales; Poaceae
Description: partial small subunit ribosomal RNA
Source: RNAcentral
GCCUUGUUUGGUGCGUAGGUCACAAAUUGCGAAGUUCGGUAGGUAGCUAUUUUGACGGGGCGGCAAGUCUUUUUUUCGUUUGUUGCGUGCGGGGGUGCAAGAGAGCGGGGCGGGCGUGCUGGAGCUGGAGAGCGGGGACGAGGAGGAGGGGGCGGCAAGCGGGAGACGGCAAGGAGCGGCGAGGAGGGCUCGGAGGGCGGCGAGGAGGUAAGGAGGCCUCGGCUGGCGGUGCGGGAAUCGGCGCCCUAGGGGAAGCAGCGCCCUCGGCGGCAGCUCGGGCAGGCAGCGCGGGCUCGGCGGCGGUCUCGGCGGGAAGCGGCGCCCUAGGGGAAGCGGCGCCGAGCGUCCAGCGGCUCGGCGGCGGGGCCUCGGCGGGAAGCGGCACCGGGCGUCCAGCGGCUCGGCGGCGGGGCCUCGGCGGGAAGCUGCGCCGGGCGUCCAAGGGGUCGGCGGCGGGGCCUCGGUGGGAAGCGGCGUCCAGCGGCGGCCUCGGCGGGAAGUGGUGUACAGAGGAGGGACGACCGGCGGGGCGGGAGGUGACGAGAAUAGAAGUUCGGGUUCGUACUUCCUCCGAUCCUAGCUCACGUCCGGACGCUGGUCCUAGUUGUCGUCCUCUGUUGCAAUGUAACACCGACAAUAAUUAUGUUAAAACUGGUUUCCUAAAUAAGAAAAAACCGUCUACCCGUGAACAAGUGGAAACAACAUCGCGCCUCUGAACAAGGUCUAUAAAUUGUACAGAAAAAUGCAUAGGAAACAAACAAGAGUUAAACCUACGAAAGUACGUCUAGUUCAAUAAUAACUCCUGUUUUACUUCCCCACGUAACGUUAGAUCUAAACUGAUUUACACACCGUGUUAGACAACUGUUUGUGUAAAUGUAAAUUCAUACACAUCAUACGAAGUCCAUUAAUUGGUGUUGUAAACAAAGCAGUUAAUAAAGGAAAAGUAAGUCACUUAACUGACAGGAAAACAAUUUUUCGCGCUCAGCUUACACAUUCAUGCCUUCUCCAAGAGGGUAACCCAACGGUGAUGUUGCUUUAUUUGUACAAUUACUGACAAUUUGUAUGAGAUAAAAACAUUAAGUUUCCGUUACAAAGACGGCCAGAGAACUUUCUUGAUUUUCUUUACGUCGGAAAUAUUGACUUACAGAUGUAAGUAAAAACCUCUAGUGUCUCGAUAUAUAAUUGCUCAAUAAUAUAACUACGUGUGACGUAAGUUAAAUCACUCGAACAAUAAAAAGACUAGCCUAAGUCACCAUUACCUUAACCCACCACUUCUUUUGAUCGUUCGACGUAUCCUCUUUAAGUAUGCACGUGGGCGUACUUAUUAUUAAAAGGUUUACAGUUUAUCAAGAUCUUUUUGAUAUGUAUAUUUAUAGACUUAGUAGACACAGGAACAUUUUAAUCACCUUUUUACUAAACCCUCCUACUCCAAUCCUCCAGCGUACGAACCCGUUCUCCUUCUCCAACGAAAUCAGAACUGGUGCUUCACGAGACCAUUGCGACAGCGCCGGUCAGCCGGUGAGCGAGAGGUUUAGAACGUCGACGCGUACCCAAGCUACCCGUCCGUACCGCCGAGUCUGGACACCCGAGGUGCUAGUGGUGCCGCGACGGAGGACCGGAACGGCGACCGUCAGUGGCUUGGGAGCGGCCUAACAGCUGGGUUGUUGAUUGGUAGUGGGAGUAGAGUAAUCAACCGAAGGGAGAUGACCUAGACUUAAAAAACCAACCAAACGUUUCACGUCUACACACUGAAGGAAAUACUACUUCCGUAGCUCCUCUAUUUGAAAACGAAGAGUUCGAAACUAAAUCAACUCUACAAAUUCGUUAUAACCAGUGAAGGUUCAUUUAAAAUACUACUACACUAUAUACAGAUGAUUAAAGGUAAAAAAGGGAAACACAAGUCCAUAGAUAUGAUUUCCAACGUCAUGAUGUGAUCGACCAAUGUUAAAACAUCUAAAGGAAAAUGGGAAUCAAACACGAGGGAGGCUAGGUUUAUAUUCACAGCGUCGAAACUUGAUUCCACAAGUUGGAAUCAAGUUUUGACGCUGUGAAUAAUACCUAGCCUCCUUCAUCAUUGACGGUUAAUCAUAUCAGGGAAUUCCGGAUUUUUCAUCGUAUCCUAUACCCUCGUUUUCCAAGUUACUUUUGAAAAUUUUGGACUCUACCUUCAUAUAAAACAUCCGAACAUCACGUACAAGUGGACAUGCUCGAUCUUGAAGGAAACACAACCGCCUUCACAAUCGGACGGUAAUAGUCAACUCAUAUCCCGGACUGGUCGUAAAACCAGAAAGUAAAUGAAAAAUGGUUGAGUUCAUUUUACAAACUUUAGAAUAUAGCUGGUGUAGUGAUUUUAAACCAACCUGAUACCAACGUACAAAUUCAGCUUUCUCCCUAGCUGGAAGUUGCAACGGAGCAGUCCAACAAAUCAAGGUUGCUCCAGAUUUAGGUAAGGGGGUAGAACACAGCUAACGGAAGAAUCAUGAUUACAAAGGGGAACCACUGUAACAGAUAAACCACAGGAAAAAACAUGUUUUAAUGAAAUACUACAAGUAGGACGAUUCGACGUCCCCAUUAUCACGAAGGUCAUAAACAUUAAAACUUAGUACCAGUUAACUAGUCAGUACCUAGUCUACCGAAUCAUACACUGUUUCCGAGAAACGAGGUUAGUUAGUCACCCUCUAGUUUAUCGAAUUCGAACAGCAUGUGUUACGUUACAUUGAUCUUAUCAGAAAUAGAAAAUUAGUCAAAGGGUCAAUAUAAAGAAGAUCUUAAAUCAAAAAAAUGAAACACUAAAUAACCGUAAAACAAUCUACUAUGUACGAAGAUUGAUGUCAUGUCUAGUCCAGGUUUUAGUCCUAUGUACUGUCGACGUUUCGUUUAUAUAGUUUCAACGAGCCCACCUAGAUAACACCAACUUCGACGAGUCCACCUAGAUUAGUUCUGUUGAAUAACUGGCAGAAGGUAAAGUUGACGUCGUUACACCCCACCGCGUACACCUCAUCAUCCCAUUUCUCUUCUACCUCUUCCACCAAUAAGACCGGAAUGCAACUCACAACUUAGACCCCAUAUACUUUUAUGAACUCAACUUCUUCUAGGCCAUGACCUAUAUUACUAACUCCUCUACGUACUGAAUUUAUUUUUCUCAACACUCUUAUACUUUAUUCCUUUAAUGACAAAGACUAACUCAGAAUUAGAUUUCUGCUGUAAACAUACUGCGAACGUAAGUGUUUAACUU